This 1645-nucleotide long non-coding RNA is filed under the name Monodelphis domestica (gray short-tailed opossum). RNAcentral describes it as "lncRNA (ENSMODG00000037205.1)". The record is from RNAcentral. Lineage: Eukaryota; Metazoa; Chordata; Mammalia; Didelphimorphia; Didelphidae.
AUGUCUGGGGCCGCUUUUGGACCCGGGCCCCCCCAGCUCAAGGCGCCAGUCUGGCACGGGGGUCGGUUCCUGAACCCUCCCCCGCCCUCACGCGUGGGAAGAGAAAUGGGGGUCCUGGGCCUUCCUCCACGUUCCUGUUCCCUCCCGCAGUGCCCCCCCGAGGGAGGCCUCCUCCCUGGCCCCAUCCCAGGCGGGUCCCCUCCCUCGCCCAAUUAUAGCUCUGCCAGCCCUCACGGCGAGGGAGGGACAGCGUGGCGGGGAGCUCAGACACUGCCUUGCAGGAAAGCCGGAGGCCGGCUCUAUUCUGGGCAGUGGCCUGUGGUCACCGUCUCGCCACGGCCCCCCCGGCUCUCCCCGGCACAAGCCUCAGUUCCUCCUUCCGUGGACGGGGGGCAGAGGCUGGGAGAGAGCGCUGGCGAGCCUGAGACAGCCGGAGGGCCGGGAGGGAAAGCAGACGCCCCUCGCUCUGGAGCCCCUUACAGGACCCCCUUACAGGCCCCCCUCUCUCCGGGGUCCUUCUUGCAGGCCCCCCAGGCUCUCCCCUUCCAUCCCCACCCAAGCCAGGGCUGGUGCGGCAGCUGCCAAGCCCACGGGCAAAUUACAGCCGUGCUGACCAGCCCCUCCCAGCAGGAGCAGCCGGGCUGACCCCGCACCCCGUCCCAGGAAGCCACAGGGCUGGGCCCCGGAGGCUGAUUCUGUCCAGCAUCUCCUGUUUGCGGAGCUGACGGUCUCCUGGGAAACAGGCGGCACCCGAACAAGUCGAGGCUCCAUCUAUACCCGGGACAGGGCCAAAGGGAUUCCAGGAGAAACUGGGGAGCAGGCGGGGGAGCUGCUGGUGCAAAAGAGUGGUGGUGGGAGAUGGAGCACUUGAGCUGCCUGGGAGGGCAGCCACGGGGCAUCUGGGGGAAUGGGCAGGCCUAGGCUCUGGGGCCCCAGCCCUGCCUGACAGCCCAGACACAGAAGGGCUUUCCCAGGGCUGAGGGGGAGCCCCGGCUCCGAGCCUCAGGCUUUGCCCUCUGGGAAAUGGGGGUCCCAACUCCCGCCCUGCCGGCUGGGCUCUAAGAGCUGGCGGCAGCUGCCCAUUUCCUUGGAAACUCUGAGAGGAUGCUCCGUGCCCGUCAUGGGGCCGAGCAGAGGAGGAAGCCGCUGACCGCAAGGAGGACGGGCCAGAAAAGCUCCUGAGGUGCCCAGUCAGGCUGCAAGGAGAUGGGGGUGCUGGGCCCAGAUGGGCGGGGGAGGAAGGAGGGAGGAAACGGGCCGGGAGGCGCAAGCAGCACUGCCGCACUUUGGAGCGCCCCACAGGGCCCCGCCAGCCCUGGCUUCCCCUCGGAGGGCUUCUGCUGCCAGGGGCAGCUCCCCGCCAACAGCCCAUCAGGUCCCCACUCGGGACACAUGACCAAGCGCCCCAGGGAGCAAGGAGUUCCCGAGUCCGGCUGCUUCGUGGGAGGGCUGGCGAGGGGCAGAGGCCAGGCAGGGUGGGCCGGGGUGCCAGGGGGCGCGCUGCCAUUCUCGGCAGAGCUGUUUGUGGUUACAACAUAUCAUUUGGGGCUAAGCUUCCUGGAACCGGGAGCCCUUGGAGCAGACCGGGGCCCCUCUGGGCUCAGCUCCCUGGCCCAGCCACAGCCUGAGCUUGGCCUUCCAGGGA